AGGUGUAUAGCUCAGUGGUAGAGCAUGUCCUUAGUAUUCCUGAGGCCCUGGGUUCAAUCCCCAGUACCUCCA
Molecule: transfer RNA, 72 nt
Filed under: Camelus bactrianus (Bactrian camel)
Lineage: Eukaryota; Metazoa; Chordata; Mammalia; Artiodactyla; Camelidae
Also listed under: 1 other name
Rfam family: tRNA
About the family: Transfer RNA (tRNA) molecules are approximately 80 nucleotides in length. Their secondary structure includes four short double-helical elements and three loops (D, anti-codon, and T loops).
Source: Rfam by way of RNAcentral